RNAcentral lists this ribosomal RNA (440 nucleotides) under uncultured bacterium. RNAcentral's name for it is "partial 16S ribosomal RNA". It matches the Rfam family "Bacterial small subunit ribosomal RNA", at positions 338 to 795 of the family's 1533-position model. The record is from RNAcentral.
CCUACGGGAGGCAGCAGUGGGGAAUAUUGCACAAUGGGGGAAACCCUGAUGCAGCGACGCCGCGUGAGUGAAGAAGUAAUUCGUUAUGUAAAGCUCUAUCAGCAGGAACGAAAAUGACGGUGCCUGAGUAAGAAGCCCCGGCUAACUACGUGCCAGCAGCCGCGGUAAUACGUGGGGGGCAAGCGUGAUCCGGAUGUACUGUGGGGAAAGGGAGCGUAGACGGCAGUGCAAGUCUGGAGUGAAAGGCGGGGGCUCAACCCCCGGACUGCACUGGAAACUGUACGGCUGGAGUGCAGGAGAGGUAAGUGGAAUUCCUAGUGUAGCGGUGAAAUGCGUAGAUAUUAGGAGGAACAACAGUGGCGAAGGCGGCUUACUGGACUGUAACUGACGUUGAGGCUCGAAAGCGUGGGGAGCAAACAGGAUUAGAUACCCUUGUAGUC